Molecule: ribosomal RNA, 493 nt
Filed under: uncultured bacterium
Lineage: Bacteria
Description: bacterial SSU rRNA
Rfam family: Bacterial small subunit ribosomal RNA
Source: RNAcentral
ACGAGUUUGAUCCUGGCUCAGGACGAACGCUGGCGGCGUGCCUAACACAUGCAAGUCGAGCGGAGGUAACCGAGGAGUAAUCUGAGGUUAUCUGAGCGGCGGACGGGUGAGUAACGCGUGAGCAACCUGCCUUUUACAGGGGAAUAACGCACCGAAAGGUGCACUAAUACCGCAUGAGACCACAGUGCCACAUGACACAGGGGUUAAAGGAGCAAUCCGGUAGAAGAUGGGCUCGCGUCCGAUUAGGUAGUUGGUGGGGUAAAGGCCUACCAAGCCUGAGAUCGGUAGCCGACCUGAGAGGGUGAUCGGCCACACUGGAACUGAGAGACGGUCCAGACUCCUACGGGAGGCAGCAGUGGGGAAUAUUGGGCAAUGGGGGAAACCCUGACCCAGCAACGCCGCGUGAGGGAAGAAGGUUUUCGGAUUGUAAACCUCUGUUCUUGGAGAAGAGUGGAAGACGGUAUCCAAGGAGGAAGCCCCGGCUAACUACGUG